UACGAAGGGGGCAAGCGUUGUUCGGAAUUACUGGGCGUAAAGGGCGCGUAGGCGGCUUAUCAAGUCAGGCGUGAAAUUCCCGGGCUCAACCUGGGGGCUGCGCUUGAUACUGAUUGGCUUGAAUGCGGGAGAGGAUAGUGGAAUUCCCAGUGUAGAGGUGAAAUUCGUAGAUAUUGGGAGGAACACCGGUGGCGAAGGCGGCGACCUGGGUAGAUACUGACGCUGAGGUGCGAAAGCGUGGGGAGCAAACAGG
This 253-nucleotide ribosomal RNA is filed under the name uncultured bacterium. Its description in RNAcentral is "partial 16S ribosomal RNA". It matches the Rfam family "Bacterial small subunit ribosomal RNA", at positions 524 to 776 of the family's 1533-position model. The record is from RNAcentral.